UCCACGCGUGAUUCAGGUACCUGGAAUUGUCGUGAUGGCACGAAUCCUCUCAAGAAAACUUGUCACGUGACUGCACAUGAGGACCUGGGUGAUGUUGCAUCAAGACUGCACCUUAAUUGUGCACCACUGAAGAAUGAGACGUUCCGUGUUUUGGACGCAUGUACGGGGUUGAGCGCUGAUCCAAGAGUUAACGUGACGUUGAAACUCAUGGAUAGUGAAUGGACAUAUAAUGGGUUGACAGGCGAUGUUGCAGUUCCAGUUCGCGACGCAGCCUAUGAUGUCAAUACAACAUGUUGUGUG
Long non-coding RNA from Haliotis rubra (blacklip abalone), 300 nucleotides. RefSeq lists it as uncharacterized. The transcript has 3 exons. Lineage: Eukaryota; Metazoa; Mollusca; Gastropoda; Lepetellida; Haliotidae. The record is from RefSeq and is a predicted model, not a curated record.